GAGUUUGAUCCUGGCUCAGAUUGAACGCUGGCGGCAGGCCUAACACAUGCAAGUCGAGCGGUAACAGGGAUAGCUUGCUAUCUGCUGACGAGCGGCGGACGGGUGCGUAACACGUAGGAAUCUACCCAGUAGCGGGGGAUAGCCCGGAGAAAUCCGGAUUAAUACCGCAUACGCCCUACGGGGGAAAGCAGGGGAUUCUUUCUUUGGAGAGAACCUUGCACUAUUGGAUGAGCCUGCGUCGGAUUAGCUGUUGGUGGGGUAAAGGCCUACCAAGGCAACGAUCCGUAGCUGGUCUGAGAGGAUGAUCAGCCACACUGGGACUGAGACACGGCCCAGACUCCUACGGGAGGCAGCAGUGGGGAAUAUUGCACAAUGGGCGCAAGCCUGAUGCAGCCAUGCCGCGUGUGUG
This 409-nucleotide ribosomal RNA is filed under the name uncultured Hahellaceae bacterium. RNAcentral's name for it is "bacterial SSU rRNA". It matches the Rfam family "Bacterial small subunit ribosomal RNA", at positions 9 to 407 of the family's 1533-position model. The record is from RNAcentral. Lineage: Bacteria; Pseudomonadati; Pseudomonadota; Gammaproteobacteria; Oceanospirillales; Hahellaceae.